Molecule: ribosomal RNA, 254 nt
Filed under: uncultured Stenotrophomonas sp.
Lineage: Bacteria; Pseudomonadati; Pseudomonadota; Gammaproteobacteria; Lysobacterales; Lysobacteraceae
Description: partial 16S ribosomal RNA
Rfam family: Bacterial small subunit ribosomal RNA
Source: RNAcentral
CGGACGGGUGAGGAAUACAUCGGAAUCUACUCUGUCGUGGGGGAUAAUGUAGGGAAACUUACGCUAAUACCGCAUACGACCUACGGGUGAAAGCAGGGGAUCUUCGGACCUUGCGCGAUUGAAUGAGCCGAUGUCGGAUUAGCUAGUUGGCGGGGUAAAGGCCCACCAAGGCGACGAUCCGUAGCUGGUCUGAGAGGAUGAUCAGCCACACUGGAACUGAGACACGGUCCAGACUCCUACGGGAGGCAGCAGUC